GUGUGGUAGAAGACAAGCUAAUUUGAAUAAAAAAUACCAAAUGUAUUUUGGGAAUGUCUGUGGCAAGGGAGUGUGCCAGGAUUUGGCAUUUUUCCUGCCCUUUGAGUUUGUGUGUGCUGCUCAUGGCAAGGCUCAGGGGCCUGGGAAGGUAUAUGGAAAAAGGAACAUGGUUUGGACAAAUCCUUUGGUAUUCAGGAGACAAUUUAACCUGGAACAGAAAUGUGGGUGGUGGGAGAACCUUUGUGCAGUCCUCUGCUUUAAGGCUGCAGAUUUUCUGAGUGACCUUGGCAAACCCAUUUCCACCUGACUCCGUUCUGGAUCUGAAAACUGGGAUUAUGGUACUGACUCACACUUACAGAUUUGAGGAUGGAAAAUGUUAAGAGCUGGGAUUUAGUGUAUUUUUAAUUGUAGGGAGUCUCACCAAAUUGGGUGAUUUAUCUCUUCUAGUUUCGGUAUGCUCUCAGCUGUGAGAGAGAGCUUUAGGCCCUUCUCCAUGUAAAAAAUACCCUCAUUUAACUUCUGAGUUAGCUUUAAUUUAUGUAUUAGCUGGUGCAUCUGCCAAAUUGUUUAGUUGGGUUUAAAAGUCCUUAGUUGACAGAGAAAACUGUGCACACAAAUCCUUCCUGCUACUGCAUUUGGGCCUAUUUUCCUUACAAGCAGAGUAUUUUCUGAUGUUAUUCCUUUUUUAAUUAUUUUUUUCUGGCUUGGACUGUCCCCCUGCAAUGACUCUGGCAGAGCUGGGGUGGCCUGGGCUGUGCUGUUGCUCUGGGCUGUGCACAGGGGUGUGAGGGGCUGGGAGCAGCCCUUGUCCCUUCCCAUCCCUCAUCAAUGUCACCCAGGGUGGCUCAGAAUUCCUUUUCUUUGCCUGUCUCCAGUUACCCAGCGCUGGGAUGGCGAAAGCAGGUGCAAAGUGACUGUGCCAAAAAUAGAAAUUUCAAUCCCUGCUCCUAGUGCAGAGGGGGGAUUUCAGCUCUCCCCCCUCGGACAACAACUCCCCUGCACACCCAGGAGUUUGUCACAAUCACCCCGACGUCCUGGCUCUUCUUUAAACUCUCUCUAAAGGAGAAUCCAUCCCCUCCAGGUGGAUGUGGGGACAGAGGAGGGCCCUGAUCCUGUGACAGCUUUGGCAGAGCAGACACGGCUGUGGUUUUGAAGCAUGGGUCAUUGGGAGCACUGUGGAAAGGCAGCAGUAAGAACUCCACCAGGAACUCAUUUCAUGUUCUAUUUAGGAAAAAAAUCCCUUUUUAAUCUCAUUCCUUUAAUCCUCAGCUUCCAAAUAACAAACCGUGAUCUAUUAGCUUUAAAGCUUGAGGAAAUUAGGGGUGAAAUAGCGUAGAAUUCAGGAGUAGUUUGGGUUGGAAGGGAUCUUAAACCCCAUCCCAUCCCACCCCCUGCCAUGGCAGGGACACCUUCCACCACCCCAGGCUGAUCCAAGCCUUGUCCAGCCUGGCCUUGGGCACUCCCAGGGCUGGAGGAGCCAAAGCUUCUCUGGGUACCCUGUGCCACCCUCACAGGUAAGAAUUUUUUCCCAAUGUCUGAUCAGGGUGUUCAUUUGAAAAUCUAGGUCAGAUUUUCCCUGAUGUUUUGUCUCUUUGGAUUUGAGCCUUUUAACAUUUUUUUCUUUAGGUUUUCCAUAGGAUCUAGACCCUGCCUCACUCAUGCAAGAGCACACAGAUGUCAUCGAUUACAGAAGAACUUUAAGAAGUCAUAAUUAAUAUUUGGACAACAUUACUUACAUGGAGAUAUUCUAAACAGAAAGAAACUACAAUUUCCCUCUUCUAGUUAUAGUAAAAAUCUGAAGCCAAACAAACGAAACUUAUUUUGGAUAUUCUGCUGUUUCCCUUGGUAACAGUCCUUAUAUGGAACAACAAAAAUCUGGCUUUUGUUGACCUCCCCAUUACCACUUUCUGGUUCUUCCACAUUGGCUGAAGGUCUCAGGAUUGAAUUCACAAAGGCUGGAAUGGAUGAUUUACACAGAACAAUAACAAAACUUUUGGCAGACAAUUUUAACCACCAAUUUUAAUUCGGAAAUAAUUGAAUUGCUUACUUUUCGAAAUUUCUGUGGUUUUGGUUUUCUGUUGUAAUGGAAAGUUUUGCACUUCUUUAUGUCUAACUUGCAGUUACAUUGUGUGUUAAGACAAACUGAAAUCUCCUUUAAAGGGUGUGUAUUGAACUCUAAAUAUAACCCAGAGAGAAACCUGGCUUUUAACUUUUUUUAGACAUAUUGCUGUGUAAGAAAAUGAUAUUUUAAAACAUAUUCCCUUGGAAGAACAUAAGUGGUUGGGUUUGGUCAGAAUUUUGAAGAAUUUGCCUUGAGAAAAAGGUAUGUAAUUACCCAUGGGGGUGCACAGGUGCGAGGGAAAGCAGACAAGUUUGUGCAUGACAGCAAAGGUGCUGAAUUUGAAAACAAAGAGGGGAUUUUUUGGAAUCUUUUAGUGUAUGAAGUUUAGCUUGGGUAAAUCUUGAACUGAGAUUGUCUGGAACAGGGCAGAAGCAGUUGGACUCCCCUUGCUUUGAGUCAUGUUUUCAGGCUUUCUUCUUGAAAUCACAAUUAACUGAGGCAUCAAAUUAAUACUUUCCAAUAAAAAUCUAUGCUUUUCACUUUCACUUUGGGCUUUGGGACUCUCAGUUUAAAAUUUGAAGUGCCAUAAAGACAUGUUGUGAUCUGUGCGUGUCCUUGCUGAGUCUGUCAGUGCAACAGUGACAGGAGUGUUCUGCCGACUUUGGCCUGGGGAGAAAUGAGCAGAUGUAGAGUAAGUUCUGGUAAAAUUCCUUCUCCAUAAAUAUGUAUUUUAAAACCUGAUACGGGCUGUCCUGAGAGAACAGAACGUGGCUUUUCUGGUUUCUGAUGUAACUGUGGGUUUGCAUGUCCCAGCCAGAGGGUCUGGGACACGGGCUGGGAGCCUGGGCUGCUUCCAGUUGACUUUAUCUGAUUCCUGCUUACAUAAACUCACAGGGUAAGUUCAGAACAAGGCAGAAACACCCCCUUGCCUUCAGAAGUGGCUCUUGGUAGCUGCAGUGUGGCUGGAAUGUCGUUUUCUUUUCUCAUGGCUCACCAAAGCGCGUCUCUGGCUCUGUCUGUGCCGGUCCCUGAUGCUCUUCUGCCUCUCUGCAGUUCCAGGCUCCGCGUGGCCUCUAGAUGUCCCUCCUCCUCCUCGCAUAACCCCAGCCCCAGGCAGUGCAAGAAACCCGGCUCCACCACAUCGCACUUCUUCAAGGAACAGACCCUGGGCAUGUCUGACCAAACCAGGUACCAGAAACUUCUGACUGGAAAAGGUGAGGUGAAGUAAUCCUCCAGCACUGUCCUCUCCUGCUUUGCUCAGAUGAGGUGAGCUGGGUUCCUGAGCAGGGACAGUGGUUUAUUCUGCUGGAAGUGACGCUGUGCUUCUGUCACCUCACCCUUCACUCCAAGGAAGGCAGCACAGGGCAGGCUCCUGCCCUCUCCAGA
Molecule: long non-coding RNA, 3448 nt
Organism: Prinia subflava (tawny-flanked prinia)
Lineage: Eukaryota; Metazoa; Chordata; Aves; Passeriformes; Cisticolidae
Exons: 2
Source: RefSeq, a predicted model, not a curated record